RNAcentral lists this non-coding RNA (31 nucleotides) under Mus musculus (house mouse). Lineage: Eukaryota; Metazoa; Chordata; Mammalia; Rodentia; Muridae. The record is from RNAcentral.
GCAAAGGAGUUCUCACGGAGAUUGUUCUGGU